Gymnodraco acuticeps is the source of this 353-nucleotide long non-coding RNA. RefSeq lists it as uncharacterized. The record is from RefSeq and is a predicted model, not a curated record. NCBI's taxonomy places the organism in Eukaryota, Metazoa, Chordata, Actinopteri, Perciformes, Bathydraconidae. The transcript has 3 exons.
GUUCACGCGAAGGGUCCGCCAUAUUGAGGGCUGGUCCAAAGCAAUCAGGGCGGAGGCGUAGUGGGUUAUAAAAGCCUCCGACAGCGAGUUUGCAUGGAUGCAGGCUUGAUAAUCUCACUCCACAGGUGUGCAACCGUUUUUCGGGCAUGGAGGAAACAACGUCAUACAAAUGGACUGUGGUAAAAACCAAGGCACUUAUUGCUUUAAGAAUGGAAAAGGAUGACCUGUUCUGCAAAAAACGCAAUGCUGCCAAAGAAGCAUGGGAGUCAAUCAUUAAGGAACUGGACCUUGGGCAACAUGUGUCUCACAAACAGGCCUCCAAGAAAUAGGAGAACCUAAAAAAGAAAUACAAG